RNAcentral lists this ribosomal RNA (593 nucleotides) under Microbacterium sp. RNAcentral's name for it is "bacterial SSU rRNA". It matches the Rfam family "Bacterial small subunit ribosomal RNA", at positions 282 to 885 of the family's 1533-position model. The record is from RNAcentral. Lineage: Bacteria; Bacillati; Actinomycetota; Actinomycetes; Micrococcales; Microbacteriaceae.
GGUAGCCGGCCUGAGAGGGUGACCGGCCACACUGGGACUGAGACACGUUCCAGACUCCUACGGGAGGCAGCAGUGGGGAAUAUUGCACAAUGGGCGAAAGCCUGAUGCAGCGACGCCGCGUGAGGGAUGACGGCCUUCGGGUUGUAAACCUCUUUCAGCAGGGAAGAAGCGAAAGUGACGGUACCUGCAGAAAAAGCGCCGGCUAACUACGUGCCAGCAGCCGCGGUAAUACGUAGGGCGCAAGCGUUAUCCGGAAUUAUUGGGCGUAAAGAGCUCGUAGGCGGUUUGUCGCGUCUGCUGUGAAAUCCCGAGGCUCAACCUCGGGUCUGCAGUGGGUACGGGCAGACUAGAGUGCGGUAGGGGAGAUUGGAAUUCCUGGUGUAGCGGUGGAAUGCGCAGAUAUCAGGAGGAACACCGAUGGCGAAGGCAGAUCUCUGGGCCGUUACUGACGCUGAGGAGCGAAAGGGUGGGGAGCGAACAGGAUUAGAUACCCUGGUAGUCCACCCCGUAAACGUUGGGAACUAGGUGUGGGGGACAUUCCACGGAUUCCGUGACGCAGCUAACGCAUUAAGUUCCCCGCCUGGGGAGUACGG